This 3412-nucleotide long non-coding RNA is filed under the name Anas platyrhynchos platyrhynchos (common mallard). Its description in RNAcentral is "lncRNA (ENSAPLG00000018375.1)". Lineage: Eukaryota; Metazoa; Chordata; Aves; Anseriformes; Anatidae. The record is from RNAcentral.
UACAUCCCACUGCAACACUAGUGGAAUUCAUUGUUGCAAUCUGAUUCAGCUGCAUAUAUACUGUAUAAAAAUUUCAUAGCCUCAUGAGUAUGAGGCUUGCUCAUUACAACAAGGUGACCUUGCUAGAAAUAUGCCCUAUGACCUUUUUCUUUUCUUUUUGAAGUCAAAUAAAUAAAUAAAUACACCAAAAAUAAACAAACAACAAAUAAACAAACAGAGUAGUAGAACAAAUGUUGGAAUCAGUGGAACAAACUUACCCCUAGGUAAGGAUAUCCAGUGUGACAUAACUGAGAGGUAUAUUCAGAGGGCAAAAGACCUUUUCUGGUCUUCUGUUCUGAUUGUGAUACAUUCCUUUCCUGACAUAAGGUUGUGGACUAUAUUUGUUUCCCUCUGCCCUUUUAGUACCUAGGCUUGUUUUUAUCUCUGUCCCAGAAUCAGAGUUCAUGACACCACACAUUACAACUGAAUGAUACCACAUGACAUCUGAUCAUACAGCACACUGGGGCUGUUUCUCUGAUACUCUACAUUACACCUCCAGAUAUGCUUACAUUUUAAAAAUUUAUAUUUUAUUUUAUUUAUUUUUUAUUUUUAUUUUUUUACUGUGUCUUCAAUCUGAGCUGACUAAGCCCAAGUCAAGUUCAGGCUAUGGGUGGCAUCUGUUUUGGUGGCCUCACACUUUGAUCUGCACAAUAGAGCAGGUAAUAAACUGUUUUAGUACAUCUCUACCCUAUCCAGGAAGCUCAGAGGACAAUGAAGAGUGUCUUGAUCACAGUUCAUCUGAGGUAGAAGAUCACUUAGCUUUUCUUCACAGGACUGCAGCUGAGAUCCACCGCUCCCAGGAGAUGGUCGGUGAUACAAGGUAAGUGACUCCCAGGAGGGCAUCCCACAGAUUUACAUCAAUUAGUAUUUUCAGUUGCAGAAAUAUCUCAUAGAUCAUGAAGAGGAGUUAAAGGAAAAAAAAAAAAGCCCUUCCUCAAGAUUCGUUAAUGUCCCCUUUGAAUUACCCUGAAGGACUAUGAAGCUGUAAUGGAGAACUAUGACCAUGGAAGAGACAGUGCUGUUGCCUCUGUAUACUCCUGAGGCCACCCAGGCAUAUUUCCAUAAGUUUAACAUGGUUCAAGGUUCUUAUAUUUAGACAAGGUACAGUGUAUUACUCUCUCCAAGGCAAAUAACCUUCCCAACCCUCCAAGGUUUAAAAAUGGACAGUUUAUUUUACAGUUUAAUAGUAUGACAAAUUUUGAGUUGAAGACUGUUCACUGCCAGGUAGAGGCAGUCAAAGAAUGUGUAGACAGAGGCAGAGAUAAUCACAAAUGCAUAGUCCUCCAGAAGGAAUUUCUAUCAUACCAAAAAAAUUAAGAACCAGAAAUUUUGUGCUCCUCUGUUUGAAAAGUCCCUAGUGCUAAUCCGAAGUGGGUAAGGGUGAAAAAAAGUUAAGGUAGGGAAAUGUUCAAGUAAAAAUGUGUCCAAGUUCAAGCAAAAAUAAUACACUUCUAAAUUUUGUAUUUUUUACUUUCACAGAGUCUUCCAUUAUUUCAUUUGGCCUCACUCAAUUGUUGUUUGUAUGUUAUAUAGGUAGAGAUUUCACCCCUGAAUACUGAAGAAAAGGAGAAGAAAGAAAAAGUCUGUUGGAGAAGUACCAAAUUACAUAUCGUUCAGAAGUGAAACAAUCUUUGCUGGUUUUAGAAAGCAGCUCUAUUGCAAAUAUCGUUGUGGUAUACGUUUACCCUCCUAGACUUCUUUUAUACCAUUUCCCUAGAAGGUAGCAAAACACACUGGUGCUUUGGAUAAAUAGAAACCCAGAACAGAUAGAAUAAGUAGCAUGGUCAUGGUUAUACAGAAGAUAUGUGGCUAAGCAGGAGCUUGAAUAAGGAUCUCAGCAUUACAGCUCUGCUAAUCUGAAUACCUCUGCUUUCUGCGACAGCAGACAGACAGGCAUCAAUGAAGUAAACUGGAGAUACAACAUAUUAAACAGAGUCUGCAUGGGCUCAAGCUAGGGAAAUCAAUUGCUUAAACUGUUGAAAGCAGAGAGAUAAUAUAGGCAAAAUCUUCACUUUAAUUAUUAACUGCUUUCAGCUUUUUAUUUUUUUUAUUUUUUUAUCAGAAUGGAGGAAAGGGGAAAAAAAAAAAGAAAAGAAAAAGAUUUAUCAGAACUGAGUGAUCAAAAAGAUUAUUUCUUUUUUUCUUCCUAAGAAAAGCUGCAACAAUUCUUCAUCAAUUAUAAACCAAGAAAGACAGGGGCAAGAAGAACACUUUGCAUGCAGGCCUCCCGCGCUUCCCCCCCUUCCCCCCUUCCUUUUCUGUCCCCCUCUCCCCCCCCCCCCCCCCCCCCCGUUCUUCCUUUGGUCUCUUUGCUCUUUUGCUCCUUCCUCAACCAAGAGCAGUUCUGCCACUGUGAAUACAUACCUGGUGUACAGCAAUGGUUCAUGGUUAGGUGAUUUUGAUCUGUGCUUUUUAUCUGGGGGGGGGGGGGCGGGGAAGGAGGCUGCGUGGUCUCCAUGCAGAUAUAGGAAGAACUUUCUGCUUCUGUGGUCUUUUGCCUCUGAGGGCAUACUACUAUGCCCAGCCUCUGGAACCAUGACACGCACACAAUUCACACCACUCAGUAUUGAGAUUUAAUGACCGAUAUUAAUAGUAGUCAGUUAAAAGGGAGGGAAAGUGUCUUUAAAGAUCUGAAGAUGAGUUCUCUUCCUUCUGCCUGCACCACGACUGCUUUCAAUUCUGCUGAGGAACUAGUCUACUCUUUCUCAGUCCAAACCUCCCUUUUCUUCUCUUUUCUUCCUUUUCUCCCUUUUCUUUCUUUUCUUUUGCUUUUGAGUUCUCAUUUCUUUUCUCUCUUUUUUUUUUUUUUUAUCUUCUACCUCUUUGUUCCUCUUCUCUGUGGACCUCACUGCAAAGAUCAGAUUUCUUUUGUUUUUGCCACUUUCAUUUUCACUUUCUAAAACUCAUUAUUUCUUUUGAUGACCAGCAUUCAUCCUUCUAAUAAUUCAGAUAUAAAGAAAGAGUAUGUAAAGAGAAUAGCUAAUAACUUCCCCUCAUAAUGUUUCAGUCUGCAAUAGGAGCUGACAUCCUCAUGAGGGCAUGGUAACAAGUUUUGGAGAAACUUGUGAGGGACCUGCCAUGGAAAUUAACAGGAAAGAUGGUAGCCACAAAGAAAAGAAAAACAAAUUCUUCCCUGGGCUGGUGACAGCCCCUUAACUCAUUUGUGUUUUCUUCUCAAAGGCACAACUGAAAAAAGCCUACAGAUGGGAAAAUGGGAUGCAAGGAUUGAUGUUUGAAUAUCAUGAAAAUGGACCAGAUCCUCAGCUGGCAUAAAUCAACACAGCCCCACAGGAAUCAAUGCAGCAAUGCCAAUUUACACCACAUGAAGACCCAGCCCAAUAAAUCUAUCAUGCUCUGGAUAAAGGGGUGAAUG